UACGUAGGGUGCGAGCGUUGUCCGGAAUUAUUGGGCGUAAAGGGCUCGUAGGCGGUUUGUCGCGUCAGGAGUGAAAACUCGGGGCUUAACCCCGAGCCUGCUUCUGAUACGGGCAGACUAGAGGUAUGCAGGGGAGAACGGAAUUCCUGGUGUAGCGGUGAAAUGCGCAGAUAUCGGAAGGAACGCCGGUGGCGAAAGCGACACACUGGACCUCUUCUGACGCUGAGGCGCGAAAGCCAGGGGAGCAAACGGG
Molecule: ribosomal RNA, 253 nt
Filed under: uncultured bacterium
Lineage: Bacteria
Description: partial 16S ribosomal RNA
Rfam family: Bacterial small subunit ribosomal RNA
Source: RNAcentral